GGGUUGUGAGGUUAAGCGACUAAGCGUACACGGUGGAUGCCCUGGCAGUCAGAGGCGAUGAAGGACGUGCUAAUCUGCGAUAAGCGUCGGUAAGGUGAUAUGAACCGUUAUAACCGGCGAUUUCCGAAUGGGGAAACCCAGUGUGUUUCGACACACUAUCAUUAACUGAAUCCAUAGGUUAAUGAGGCGAACCGGGGGAACUGAAACAUCUAAGUACCCCGAGGAAAAGAAAUCAACCGAGAUUCCCCCAGUAGCGGCGAGCGAACGGGGAGCAGCCCAGAGCCUGAAUCAGUGUGUGUGUUAGUGGAAGCGUCUGGAAAGGCGCGCGAUACAGGGUGACAGCCCCGUACACAAAAAUGCACAUGCUGUGAGCUCGAUGAGUAGGGCGGGACACGUGGUAUCCUGUCUGAAUAUGGGGGGACCAUCCUCCAAGGCUAAAUACUCCUGACUGACCGAUAGUGAACCAGUACCGUGAGGGAAAGGCGAAAAGAACCCCGGCGAGGGGAGUGAAAAAGAACCUGAAACCGUGUACGUACAAGCAGUGGGAGCACGCUUAGGCGUGUGACUGCGUACCUUUUGUAUAAUGGGUCAGCGACUUAUAUUCUGUAGCAAGGUUAACCGAAUAGGGGAGCCGAAGGGAAACCGAGUCUUAACUGGGCGUUAAGUUGCAGGGUAUAGACCCGAAACCCGGUGAUCUAGCCAUGGGCAGGUUGAAGGUUGGGUAACACUAACUGGAGGACCGAACCGACUAAUGUUGAAAAAUUAGCGGAUGACUUGUGGCUGGGGGUGAAAGGCCAAUCAAACCGGGAGAUAGCUGGUUCUCCCCGAAAGCUAUUUAGGUAGCGCCUCGUGAAUUCAUCUCCGGGGGUAGAGCACUGUUUCGGCAAGGGGGUCAUCCCGACUUACCAACCCGAUGCAAACUGCGAAUACCGGAGAAUGUUAUCACGGGAGACACACGGCGGGUGCUAACGUCCGUCGUGAAGAGGGAAACAACCCAGACCGCCAGCUAAGGUCCCAAAGUCAUGGUUAAGUGGGAAACGAUGUGGGAAGGCCCAGACAGCCAGGAUGUUGGCUUAGAAGCAGCCAUCAUUUAAAGAAAGCGUAAUAGCUCACUGGUCGAGUCGGCCUGCGCGGAAGAUGUAACGGGGCUAAACCAUGCACCGAAGCUGCGGCAGCGACGCUUAUGCGUUGUUGGGUAGGGGAGCGUUCUGUAAGCCUGCGAAGGUGUGCUGUGAGGCAUGCUGGAGGUAUCAGAAGUGCGAAUGCUGACAUAAGUAACGAUAAAGCGGGUGAAAAGCCCGCUCGCCGGAAGACCAAGGGUUCCUGUCCAACGUUAAUCGGGGCAGGGUGAGUCGACCCCUAAGGCGAGGCCGAAAGGCGUAGUCGAUGGGAAACAGGUUAAUAUUCCUGUACUUGGUGUUACUGCGAAGGGGGGACGGAGAAGGCUAUGUUGGCCGGGCGACGGUUGUCCCGGUUUAAGCGUGUAGGCUGGUUUUCCAGGCAAAUCCGGAAAAUCAAGGCUGAGGCGUGAUGACGAGGCACUACGGUGCUGAAGCAACAAAUGCCCUGCUUCCAGGAAAAGCCUCUAAGCAUCAGGUAACAUCAAAUCGUACCCCAAACCGACACAGGUGGUCAGGUAGAGAAUACCAAGGCGCUUGAGAGAACUCGGGUGAAGGAACUAGGCAAAAUGGUGCCGUAACUUCGGGAGAAGGCACGCUGAUAUGUAGGUGAAGCGACUUGCUCGUGGAGCUGAAAUCAGUCGAAGAUACCAGCUGGCUGCAACUGUUUAUUAAAAACACAGCACUGUGCAAACACGAAAGUGGACGUAUACGGUGUGACGCCUGCCCGGUGCCGGAAGGUUAAUUGAUGGGGUCAGCGCAAGCGAAGCUCUUGAUCGAAGCCCCGGUAAACGGCGGCCGUAACUAUAACGGUCCUAAGGUAGCGAAAUUCCUUGUCGGGUAAGUUCCGACCUGCACGAAUGGCGUAAUGAUGGCCAGGCUGUCUCCACCCGAGACUCAGUGAAAUUGAACUCGCUGUGAAGAUGCAGUGUACCCGCGGCAAGACGGAAAGACCCCGUGAACCUUUACUAUAGCUUGACACUGAACAUUGAGCCUUGAUGUGUAGGAUAGGUGGGAGGCUUUGAAGUGUGGACGCCAGUCUGCAUGGAGCCGACCUUGAAAUACCACCCUUUAAUGUUUGAUGUUCUAACGUGGACCCGUGAUCCGGGUUGCGGACAGUGUCUGGUGGGUAGUUUGACUGGGGCGGUCUCCUCCUAAAGAGUAACGGAGGAGCACGAAGGUUGGCUAAUCCUGGUCGGACAUCAGGAGGUUAGUGCAAUGGCAUAAGCCAGCUUGACUGCGAGCGUGACGGCGCGAGCAGGUGCGAAAGCAGGUCAUAGUGAUCCGGUGGUUCUGAAUGGAAGGGCCAUCGCUCAACGGAUAAAAGGUACUCCGGGGAUAACAGGCUGAUACCGCCCAAGAGUUCAUAUCGACGGCGGUGUUUGGCACCUCGAUGUCGGCUCAUCACAUCCUGGGGCUGAAGUAGGUCCCAAGGGUAUGGCUGUUCGCCAUUUAAAGUGGUACGCGAGCUGGGUUUAGAACGUCGUGAGACAGUUCGGUCCCUAUCUGCCGUGGGCGCUGGAGAACUGAGGGGGGCUGCUCCUAGUACGAGAGGACCGGAGUGGACGCAUCACUGGUGUUCGGGUUGUCAUGCCAAUGGCACUGCCCGGUAGCUAAAUGCGGAAGAGAUAAGUGCUGAAAGCAUCUAAGCACGAAACUUGCCCCGAGAUGAGUUCUCCCUGACUCCUUGAGAGUCCUGAAGGAACGUUGAAGACGACGACGUUGAUAGGCCGGGUGUGUAAGCGCAGCGAUGCGUUGAGCUAACCGGUACUAAUGAACCGUGAGGCUUAACCUUACAACGCCGAAG
This 2925-nucleotide ribosomal RNA is filed under the name Escherichia coli. RNAcentral describes it as "23S ribosomal RNA". It matches the Rfam family "Bacterial large subunit ribosomal RNA". The record is from RNAcentral. Lineage: Bacteria; Pseudomonadati; Pseudomonadota; Gammaproteobacteria; Enterobacterales; Enterobacteriaceae.